AGAGUUUGAUCCUGGCUCAGAUUGAACGCUGGCGGCAGGCCUAACACAUGCAAGUCGAACGGUAACAGGAAGAAGCUUGCUUCUUUGCUGACGAGUGGCGGACGGGUGAGUAAUGUCUGGGAAACUGCCUGAUGGAGGGGGAUAACUACUGGAAACGGUAGCUAAUACCGCAUAACGUCGCAAGACCAAAGAGGGGGACCUUCGGGCCUCUUGCCAUCGGAUGUGUCCAGAUGGGAUUAGCUAGUAGGUGGGGUAACGGCUCACCUAGGCGACGAUCCCUAGCUGGUCUGAGAGGAUGACCAGCCACACUGGAACUGAGACACGGUCCAGACUCCUACGGGAGGCAGCAGAAGGGCGAAUU
Molecule: ribosomal RNA, 361 nt
Filed under: uncultured Escherichia sp.
Lineage: Bacteria; Pseudomonadati; Pseudomonadota; Gammaproteobacteria; Enterobacterales; Enterobacteriaceae
Description: bacterial SSU rRNA
Rfam family: Bacterial small subunit ribosomal RNA
Source: RNAcentral